Molecule: transfer RNA, 74 nt
Filed under: Acinetobacter baumannii
Lineage: Bacteria; Pseudomonadati; Pseudomonadota; Gammaproteobacteria; Moraxellales; Moraxellaceae
Description: tRNA-Trp(cca)
Rfam family: tRNA
About the family: Transfer RNA (tRNA) molecules are approximately 80 nucleotides in length. Their secondary structure includes four short double-helical elements and three loops (D, anti-codon, and T loops). Further hydrogen bonds mediate the characteristic L-shaped molecular structure. tRNAs have two regions of fundamental functional importance: the anti-codon, which is responsible for specific mRNA codon recognition, and the 3' end, to which the tRNAs corresponding amino acid is attached (by aminoacyl-tRNA synthetases). tRNAs cope with the degeneracy of the genetic code in two manners: having more than one tRNA (with a specific anti-codon) for a particular amino acid; and 'wobble' base-pairing, i.e. permitting non-standard base-pairing at the 3rd anti-codon position.
Source: RNAcentral
AGGCACUUCGUAUAAUGGUAUUACAACGGGCUCCAACCCCGCUAAAGAGAGUUCGAUUCUUUCAGUGCCUGCCA